This 393-nucleotide ribosomal RNA is filed under the name uncultured Desulfuromonadales bacterium. RNAcentral's name for it is "partial 16S ribosomal RNA". It matches the Rfam family "Bacterial small subunit ribosomal RNA", at positions 338 to 723 of the family's 1533-position model. Lineage: Bacteria; Pseudomonadati; Thermodesulfobacteriota; Desulfuromonadia; Desulfuromonadales. The record is from RNAcentral.
CCUACGGGUGGCAGCAGUGGGGAAUUUUGCGCAAUGGGGGCAACCCUGACGCAGCAACGCCGCGUGAGUGAUGAAGGCCUUCGGGUCGUAAAGCUCUGUCAGAGGGGAAGAAAUGCAGGUGGUGAACAACCAUUCUGUUUGACGGUACCCUCAAAGGAAGCACCGGCUAACUCCGUGCCAGCAGCCGCGGUAAUACGGAGGGUGCGAGCGUUGUUCGGAAUCAUUGGGCGUAAAGGGCGCGUAGGCGGUUCGGUAAGUCGGGUGUGAAAGCCCCGGGCUCAACCCGGGAAGUGCAUCCGAAACUGCCGGACUGGAGUACGGGAGGGGGAAGUGGAAUUCCUGGUGUAGGGGUGAAAUCCGUAGAUAUCAGGAGGAACACCGGUGGCGAGGGCG